AUAGAUUUGGUUUGCUUUUUUUAUAGUACAUUCGUAGACUUCUAUGUAGAUGUAGGUCUACAGACUGCAGCUGUCCAAUAAUUAUUUAAUAAUGUACUAUCAAAAGCGAAGAAGCUGGUUGUGGAAAUUGGGGAACACCAGGAGAAGAAGUUGUUGUUGUGGAGACUGAAGAAGUUGCUGGUGUUGAGACUGAGAAGCCUGCUGGUGAUGAGGUUGCUGCUGAUGCUAACAAGGAGAACAUUGCUGAAGUGGAGGAGCAGAAAGAGUCUGAAGAUAAGGUAAGCAGAUGAGUUAAGAGAGAUGUUAGGUUGCUAGAUUAGGACAUGGAACUGAACUUACUCUUGUUUCGGCUUUUUUCUUUAUUAUCCUUCAAUGCUUAUUAGCUUGUGGUUUGGUAGGAAAUGACUCUGGAUGAGUACGAGAAAAAUACUUGAGGAGAAGAGAAAAGCCCUUCAGUCUCAGAACACCUCUGAAAGAAAAGUUGAUACUAAAGUGUUUAAAUCAAUGCAAAAAAUCUCAAACAAGAAGAAGUCUCGAUGAAAUCUUCAUCAAGUUGGUAAGACAUAUUACCUCCCUGUCUUGUCGACUAGAAACACUCUUAACCGGUUCUGAACUUUGCAUUUGAUCUAUCUCCCAGGGUUCUGAUAAGGACAAACGCAAAAAUGACAAAGAAGAGAAGGCUAAUAAGGUUUACAUUGUUGUCUGAAUGAAAGAGUUUGUAAAAGUCAAUAAGUUUGCUUAUGGAUGUGUUAUGUGGUUUACAGGCUGUGAACAUCAACGAGUUUUUGAAACCAGGUGAGGGUGAGAACUACUACCGAGGAGGAGGUCGUGGUGGUCGUGGAAGGGGACGUGGUGGUCGUGACGGGGAAGGUGCUUCUGGUGGUGGAUUUGAUGGUUACCGUAGUGAAGCUGCACCUGCCAUUGGAGAUACUGCUCAGUUCCCAUAUCUUGGGGGCAAGUAGGAUCCAUCCUUGGAAACUUGUGCUGUCUCCUUCAGUUUUCCUCAUCAAGACUGAAGUGUUUCAUGCUGAGUGUUUGCCGGUCUGUUGUUGUCAGGUGUAAAUUGUUAGUUGUCGUCAGUUUUUAGAGUUUCUGCAAACUUAUGCAUGACCUGUCUUUUUUUUAACGUUUGAAACAAUACCCUUUUCUAUUUUGGUUUACCACUUAGUCUU
Long non-coding RNA from Brassica napus (rape), 1172 nucleotides. RefSeq lists it as uncharacterized. The transcript is spliced from 2 exons. The record is from RefSeq and is a predicted model, not a curated record. Lineage: Eukaryota; Viridiplantae; Streptophyta; Magnoliopsida; Brassicales; Brassicaceae.